AAUAUCUUACAAAUAUUACCAUUUCAACAUGUAAUCAGUAUAGCAAGCAUUCUUUUUCAUACUAAGUCUUUGAAAUAGGCACUUUUCAAGGGUUCGGUAGCCACACGUCGGUAGUGGCUACUGUACCAAACAACACAGCUCUAGACCUCAGUCUAGGUAUCUGAGAUCUCAGAAUCCUCUGUCCAAAUGGCCCCCUCCUGCUUCCAGGGCCUCUCUUCCCCAUUAAGAUUUCUAAGGGCAGAGUCCACCUAGAAGCUUGCAGAGCAGGAAGGGCCAGGAUAUAGGCUUGCCUCCGAGGAGGGGGUGAGUUGCACCUGGAUUGGUUUUUCUUCUUAGCUCUAAACCUGAUCUAGAGGCAGGGGUAAUGGGAGCUACGGGGCACCAAGGGACAGAAAAGGUUGGGCACAGCCCAGGGGCAGCAGGGGAGCCUUCAGGGUGGUGGGAGGUUGGGAUCCCGCAGAGGCAGCCUGGACAGGCUCAUCUGGCAGAGGGGAGAGAGGGUGGGAGCACCGCAGUCCACAGACAGGUUAAUGCCUCCCGCCUUGCACACAAUUGAAUUUGCCCUCCUGAGCCUCCUGGCUUUGGGGAAGGGCCUCUUCUCCUGGGAGCUCAGCUGGACUCCCAGAGCCACAGGGCCUGGGUCAGCUGGGCCUGAUUCGAUCAGGAGAAAUGAAGGUCAUGAGGCCCACAGACAGCCCAGUGCCCAGAGGGGCCACUGGCUCAGCCCAGAAAGAUAAGGCCGGGGAGGGCCUGUGGGGGGGGCCCAGGUCCGUCCUAGCUCUGCCUCCAUCCUGGGAGCCCCCCAUCCUGGAAACACAGUUGAGAAGUGUCUGUAAUAUACAUCACCAUCUCCUCCCACCUUCCAUGUCUCUGAAAGGUGGCUGAAGAUGACUCACAAUCAGAAAACUUGGAACCAGUCUGUUUUCCUCUGCCUCUGCGCGGGUGUCCAGCACAUGUUAGGUGGGGGCAGAAGAAACAAGCGAAAAAGACUCCAUUCUUUCUUUACUCUCAGUACUUUGCAUCUUGUAUCAAACCCAACUCCCAGACAUAUAUUGUGGGAGGCUCUUUGUGGGAGAGCUAGUGAAACAGUUAGGGGACAGGGACUUCCCUGGUGGUGCAAUGGUUAAGACUCUGUGCUUCCAAUGCAGGGGGCCCAGGUUCGAUCCCUGGUCAGGGAACUAGAUCCCACAUGCAUGCUGCAACUAAGAGUCCGCAUGCCACAACUAAGGAGCCCACGUGCUGCAACUAAGACCCAGUGCCACCAACCAACCAACCAAACAAACAAACAAAACAGGGGGCAAAUUGCAAACCAGGGGAGACAUCAUAGGACUCCAAAUGGGACAUGCUGUCUCAUGCCUCCAGGCCUUUGACCAUGCCGUUCCUUCCACCUGGAUGCCCUCCUUCUUCCCCCUUGAAGGCCAGGGAAGAUUCUACUACCCCUUGGAGGCCACCUUCCCACUGUGACCCCUCCACUACCUCGCAGCACUGCUGGUUCCCACCCUCGUCCAUGUCUCUAUAAGCAUCUUCGAGGCUCCAUCAAGGGGCUGAUGGUGCACUUGUUAACUCAAUAUGCAAAUAAUCAUUGACCGCCUCCCAGGUGCCUGGCACUGUCCUGGGGGUUGGGACACCACAGGGAACAAGCAAACGAGGGGAAAGACAAUGAACAUGUAAACAAAAAAUAAACAAGAGUGUUGAGUGCUAAGAGGGAAAUAGAGUAGCCCACUUCUGUAAUCAAGAGUGAUUGGGGGGCUUCCCUGGUGGCGCAGUGGUUGAGAGUCCGCCUGCCGAUGCAGGGGACGCGGGUUCGUGCCCCGGUCCGGGAGGAUCCCACAUACCGCGGAGCGGCUGGGCCCGUGAGCCAUGGCCGCUGAGCCUGCGCAUCCGGAGCCUGUGCUCCGCAACGGGAGGGGCCACAACAGUGAGAGGCCCGCGCACCGCAAAAAAAAAAAAAGAGUGAUUGGGGUGGGCAGCGGCAUCUGCUUUAGACAAGGAGGUGAUGCUGGAGCUGAGGCCUGAAUGCUAAGAGGGAGGUGGUCCUGCAAGGGCCUGGGGCAGAGCGGUUCAUGCAGGAACAGUCAGCACUAAAACUCCAAGGCAAACAUACCGUAUCAUUACGUUUGUAUGAAACAUCCAGGAUGAGUGAAUCCAGAGAGAUGGAAAGCAGAUUGCUGAUUGCCAGGGGCUGGAUGGGGGGCAGGCAGAUGGGUGUGACUGCUAAUGGGAAUGGGGUUUCCCUUUGAGAUGAUGAAAAUGUUCUAGAACUAGAUAGUAGUGAUGGUUGCACAACAUUGUGAAAUGCCACUGAAUUGUACACGUUAAAAUGGCUCAAAUUGGGAAUUCCCUGGUGGUCCUGGUGGUUAGGACUCCGUGCUUCCACUGUAGGGCGUGGGUUCGAUCCCUGGAACUAAGAUUCCGCAUGCCGUGCAGUGCGGCCCAAAAAAACCAAAAAGCAAAAUACCACAACCACCGACAACAAAAAUAAAAUGGCUCAAAUGGUACAUUUUAUGUUCUGUGUAUUUUCCCAUAAAACCAAACAAAACAGCUAAGGCAAGAAUAAGCUUGCUGUGGUCUAGGAACAGAAAGGCCAGUGUGGGGAAAAUGGUAGAGGCUGGGGGAGGCGAUGGGGGCCGGUCAUGAGGAUGUUAUGGGUUGGUAAGAAGUUUGCAUUUUAUUCUAGUGCAAUGGGGGAGCCACUGGAAGUUUUCAAGCAGGAAAGGAACAAGACAGCACUUACCAUUUUUAAAGAUCCCGUGGCUGUGUGGGCCGUGGGUGGUGAUGGGACCGAAAUAAAAGCAGGGAGAUCAGAUGGGGAAGCCACUGCUGUGGUCCAGAGGAGAGAUGAUGGUGACCUGGGACAGGGUGCGGGCCAUGGGGAUGGAGUGAUGAGAACAGAUUUAGGAUUUAUUUUAAAGGUAGAACCAACGGGACUUGACGGAUUAAAGGAAAAGAAAAUGAGGAAAAGGGAAGAAUGGAGAAUGCCAUUUACAUUUUCAACUUGAGCAACUAAAAGGAUGGAGUUGGCGUUUUACUGAGAUGAGGAAGCCUGUGUGGGCAACACCUUUAGGGCACACAGAGUUUGAGCAGCUUAUUAGAUACCCACGAGGCAAUGUCAGGUGGGCCAUUGGAUGGGCUCGUCUGGAGUUCAGGACCGAGACAACCGUCUGAUUUUCACCACCCCCACCCCGUGGAGACGGUAUUUAAAGCCUGGCCCUGGGUGACCCCACCCCGGGGAUUGGUAUGGUAUGGAAGAGAGAAGAUCGCAGGGCUGUGCCUGGGGAAUCAGGCUAUGUAGAGAUCAAGCCGAGGAAGAGCCCCCAGCACAACAGACCGAGAAAAGCAGCCAGUAAGGCAGGAGGAAAAAACAGCUGAGCCCUGUCUCUGAAGUGAGGGAAGUGUUUCCAGGAGGGAGGGCCAGCACUGUCCAGUGCUGCUAAGAGGAUGAAUAGAUGAGGACAAAGGAGUUACCUUAGGAUUUAGCGGUGUGAUUAGAGGUCGGCCUCCCUGUGAGUCUGAGCGCCCAGCACAUAUUAGGUGCUUAUUUAAAGGUUGCAGGACUUGAAAUGAGCAUGUUCUGCACUCUGAGGCAUAGAUUGCCCAGAGCAUAGGGGUUCGAGCUAGAAACCAGGUAUUUAUCAAGGGGAAAUGGCUGAGGGGCAUGGGCCACCAGGGAGCCAUUGUCGCAGGGAGGCCGGGGGAGGCUGGGGAGCCCAAGGAGCACAGGAUUCCGGUUCGCCCACUGGCACUUUUUUUUUUUUUUUUUGCGGUACGCGGGCCUCUCACUGCUGUGGCCUCUCCCAUUGCGGAGCACAGGCUCCGGACACGCAGGCUCAGCGGCCAUGGCUCACGGGCCCAGCCGCUCCGCGGCAUGUGGGAUCUUCCCGGACCGGGGCACGAACCCGUGUCCCCUGCAUCGGCAGGCGGACUCUUAACCACUGCGCCACCAGGGAAGCCCCACUGGCACAUUUUGAGGAGGGCUUCCUUCCACUUCUUCUCGCCUUUUCCUCUCAGGAGGUGAUUCAUAUUUCAAUAUAUUCCAGCUGAAAAAGGAUCCGAUUUUAAGCAGGUGGGAUAUGAAUACCUUCAUGAUAAUUUGGGGAGAACAUCCGAUGCGUGUAUGUGGUGGAUGCCCCCAGGAUGGAACGUCUGGCACACAGGAAGGAUUCAACACACGUUCAUCUCCUUUGCUUCUC
Molecule: long non-coding RNA, 4190 nt
Organism: Orcinus orca (killer whale)
Lineage: Eukaryota; Metazoa; Chordata; Mammalia; Artiodactyla; Delphinidae
Exons: 2
Source: RefSeq, a predicted model, not a curated record